This 986-nucleotide ribosomal RNA is filed under the name uncultured bacterium. RNAcentral's name for it is "bacterial SSU rRNA". It matches the Rfam family "Bacterial small subunit ribosomal RNA", at positions 28 to 1011 of the family's 1533-position model. The record is from RNAcentral.
GAUGAACGCUAGCGGCAGGCCUAACACAUGCAAGUCGAACGGUAACAUGAGAGCUUGCUCUUGAUGACGAGUGGCGCACGGGUGCGUAACGCGUAUGCAAUCUACCUAUAACUGAGGGAUAGCCCAGAGAAAUUUGGAUUAAUACCUCAUAAUAAUAUUUUUUGGCUUCAUUAAAUAUUUAAAACUCCGGUGGUUAUAGAUGAGCAUGCGUUCUAUUAGUUUGUUGGUGAGGUAAAAGCUCACCAAGACUACGAUAGAUAGGGGGCCUGAAAGGGUGAUCCCCCACACUGGUACUGAGACACGGACCAGACUCCUACGGGAGGCAGCAGUGAGGAAUAUUGCACAAUGGAGGAAACUCUGAUGCAGCCAUGCCGCGUGCAGGAUGACGGCCCUACGGGUUGUAAACUGCUUUUUUACAAGAAGAAACCUUGGUACGUGUACCAACUUGACGGUAUUGUAAGAAUAAGCACCGGCUAACUCCGUGCCAGCAGCCGCGGUAAUACGGAGGGUGCAAGCGUUAUCCGGAUUUAUUAGGUUUAAAGGGUUCGCAGGCGGAAUUUUAAGUCAGUGGUGAAAGCCUAUAGCUCAACUAUAGAACUGCCACUGAUACUGAUAUUCUUGAGUGUAGAUGAAGUGGGCGGAAUAUGUCAUGUAGCGGUGAAAUGCAUAGAUAUGACAUGGAACACCAAUUGCGAAGGCAGCUCACUAAACUAUUACUGACGCUCAUGAACGAAAGCAUGGGGAGCAAACAGGAUUAGAUACCCUGGUAGUCCAUGCUGUAAACUAUGAUCACUAGAUGUUGGCGAUAUAUUGUCAGUGUUUAAGAGAAAUCGUUAAGUGAUCCACCUGGGGAGUACGUUCGCAAGAAUGAAACUCAAAGGAAUUGACGGGGGCCCGCACAAGCGGAGGAACAUGUGGUUUAAUUCGAUGAUACGCGAGGAACCUUACCAAGGCUUAAAUGUAGAUUGACAGAUUGUGAAAACAGU